AACGAACGCUGGCGGCGCGCCUAAUACAUGCAAGUCGAGCGAGAAGACGUAGCAAUACGUUUGUAAAGCGGCGAACGGGUGAGGAAUACAUGGGUAACCUACCCUCGAGUGGGGAAUAACUAGCCGAAAGGUUAGCUAAUACCGCGUACGCUCCUUGGACUUCGGUUCAGGGAGGAAAGCGAUACCGUGGGUAUCGCGCUCUUGGAUGGGCUCAUGUCCUAUCAGCUUGUUGGUGAGGAACGGCUCACCAAGGCUUCGACGGGUAGCUGGUCUGAGAGGACGAUCAGCCACACUGGCACUGCGACACGGGCCAGACUCCUACGGGAGGCAGCAGUAAGGAAUAUUGCGCAAUGGGCGAAAGCCUGACGCAGCGACGCCGCGUGGGGGAUGAAGGUCUUCGGAUUGUAAACCCCUUUCGGGAGGGAAGAUGGAAUGGGUAACCCGAUUCGGACGGUACCUCCAGAAGCAGCCACGGCUAACUUCGUGCCAGCCGCCGCGGUAAG
Molecule: ribosomal RNA, 503 nt
Filed under: uncultured bacterium
Lineage: Bacteria
Description: bacterial SSU rRNA
Rfam family: Bacterial small subunit ribosomal RNA
Source: RNAcentral